AUGGCUCAGGACGAACGCUGGCGGCGUGCCUAACACAUGCAAGUCGAGCGAUGAAGUCUUCGGAAUGGAUUAGCGGCGGACGGGUGAGUAACACGUGGGUAACCUGCCUUGUAGAGGGGGAUAGCCUUCCGAAAGGAAGAUUAAUACCGCAUAACAUCUUUUUAUCGCAUGGUAGAAAGAUCAAAGGAGUAAUCCGCUACAAGAUGGACCCGCGGCGCAUUAGCUAGUUGGUGAGGUAACGGCUCACCAAGGCGACGAUGCGUAGCCGACCUGAGAGGGUGAUCGGCCACAUUGGAACUGAGACACGGUCCAGACUCCUACGGGAGGCAGCAGUGGGGAAUAUUGCGCAAUUGGGGGGAAACCCUGACGCAGCAACGCCGCGUGAAUGAAGAAGGCCUUAGGGUUGUAAAGUUCUGUUUACGGGGACGAUAAUGACGGUACCCGUGGAGGAAGCCACGGCUAACUACGUGCCAGCCGCCGC
This 481-nucleotide ribosomal RNA is filed under the name uncultured bacterium. RNAcentral's name for it is "bacterial SSU rRNA". It matches the Rfam family "Bacterial small subunit ribosomal RNA", at positions 19 to 518 of the family's 1533-position model. The record is from RNAcentral.